AAGGCCCCAACUUGGAUUGAAGCUCCAUUGCACUGGUUGCUGUAUAAAUGUAGAAGACACGAUCCCUGCUCUGAAAGCCUCACAACCUAAACACAUAACAUGAUGGUAUGCAUGAGUCAGGAUGAAUCGGAUAUGCACCCUACAGCGAUAUGAGGAGGCUUGUGAGACCUCCCUAAUUAAUGUCUGUGAAGUGCGCUGAACAUGAAAAACAGUCCAUACGUCAUUUAGGUAAAGUCAUUUAGGUAAAGUUUGAAAAAAAGAAAGAAAGAAGGUAGCUCCAUGUUUUGCAACUCAUUCUUCCUUACCCCACUCCGGAAAUAUUCUACCUGCAAAUAUUUUCACCAAAGAAGAACGGAAAAUCAGAAAGUAGCCUCAGAAUAGGAAGGAUUAUAGUUAGAGGACUGAAGCUUUCACAUUUUAAAUAGCAAAUCCUCUAUUCUCCCUUCAGUACACAUGACAUGAGGCCAAUGGGAAUUAUAGUUGUGUAUCAAAUGGAUAUCUAUCUAUCUAUCUAUCUAUCUAUCUAUCUAUCUAUCUAUCUAUCCACCAUACAGUCACUACUACAGUACCCAAGCAACUAAUUAUAGGACCCCUUCAGUGUUUACAUGAAAGUUUAUCACUUCUAAAGCUAAACUGGGAGAGGU
Molecule: long non-coding RNA, 644 nt
Organism: Chelonia mydas (Green sea turtle)
Lineage: Eukaryota; Metazoa; Chordata; Testudines; Cheloniidae
Exons: 3
Source: RefSeq, a predicted model, not a curated record